CCACCCCCUUGGUUUGCCUGGGACUGAGAGGCUUUCGAGGGUGCCAGACUUUCAGUGCUGAAGUCA
This 66-nucleotide microRNA precursor is filed under the name Pteropus vampyrus (large flying fox). RNAcentral's name for it is "miRNA (ENSPVAG00000028875.1)". Lineage: Eukaryota; Metazoa; Chordata; Mammalia; Chiroptera; Pteropodidae. The record is from RNAcentral.